UGAAUAUCUGUCGAUGGUAGGAGAGCGUUCUAUGCGGGGAGAAGUCUGAGCGGAAGCGCAGGUGGACUGCAUAGAAGUGAGAAUGCCGGAAUGAGUAGCGCGAAAUAUGUGAGAAUCAUAUUGGCCGAAAGUCUAAGGUUUUUGGAGGAAGGUUCGUCCGCUCCAAGUAAGUCGGGAGCUAAGGCGAGGCCGAAAGGCGUAGUCGAUGCACAUACGGUAGAUAUUCCGUAACCGCCGAAGGAUUAAAGCAAAGGGACACCUGCGAAGCGUGUAACCCGGGCGAUGGUUGCCCCGGGCGAAAGGGACCGAAAUUUAGUAGGGAAGUACAUGUAGAGCAGGGCGAGAAAAGCUUUGUGUAUAUCCAAGGCGCCCGUACCGCAAACCGACACAGGUAGAUAGGAAGAGAAUUCUAAGGCCAACGGGAGAAGGGUAGUUAAGGAACUCGGCAAAUUGGUCCCGUAACUUAGGGAAAAGGGACGCUCCAGAGAUGGAGCCGCAGUGAAUAGGCCCAGGCGACUGUUUAGCAAAAACACAGGUCUCUGCCAAAUCGAAAGAUGAAGUAUAGGGGCUGACACCUGCCCGGUGCUGGAAGGUUAAGAGGAGAUGUGCAAGCAUUGAAUUGAAGCCCCAGUAAACGGCGGCCGUAACUAUAACGGUCCUAAGGUAGCGAAAUUCCUUGUCGGGUAAGUUCCGACCCGCACGAAUGGUGUAACGAUCUGGGCACUGUCUCAACUACCCGCCCGGCGAUAUUGUAGUACCGGUGAAGAUGCCGGUUACCCGCGACGAGACGGAAAGACCCCAUGGAGCUUUACUGUAGCUUGAUAUUGGGUUUCGGUAAUUUAUGUACAGGAUAGGCGGGAGACAAGGAAGCCAGUACGCUAGUAUUGGUGGAGUCGCCCUUGGGAUACCGCUCUUAAGUUGCUGGAAUUCUAACCUGCGGCUGUGAAUCCGGUCGGGGGACAUUGUCAGGUGGGCAGUUUGACUGGGGCGGUCGCCUCCAAAAGAGUAACGGAGGCGCUCAAAGGUUCGCUCAGCACGGACGGAAACCGUGCUUUUGAGUGUAAACGCAGAAGCGAGCCUGACUGCGAGGGUGACGGCCCGAGCAGAAACGAAAGUUGGAGUUAGUGAUCCGGCGGUAUGUGAAUGGAAAUGCCGUCGCUCAACGGAUAAAAGCUACCCUGGGGAUAACAGGCUGAUCUCCCCCAAGAGUCCACAUCGACGGGGAGGUUUGGCACCUCGAUGUCGGCUCAUCACAUCCUGGGGCUGUAUUCGGUCCCAAGGGUUCGGCUGUUCGCCGAUUAAAGUGGUACGCGAUCUGGGUUCAGAACGUCGUGAGACAGUUCGGUCCCUAUCUGUCGUGGGCGCAGGAUAUUUGAGGAGCUCUGUCCUUAGUACGAGAGGACCGGGAUGGACGCACCGCUGGUGCACCAGUUGUCACGCCAGUGGCACAGCUGGGCAGCUAAGUGCGGAUCGGAUAAACGCUGAAAGCAUCUAAGCGUGAAGCCGGCUCCAAGAUAAGAUAUCCCAUUCCGUAAGGAAGUAAGACCCCUUGUAGACUACAAGGUUGAUAGGCUGCGUGUGUAAGCGUCGCGAGACGUUCAGCUUGGCAGUACUAAUAGGUCGAGGGCUUGACC
RNAcentral lists this ribosomal RNA (1634 nucleotides) under metagenome. RNAcentral describes it as "bacterial LSU rRNA". It matches the Rfam family "Bacterial large subunit ribosomal RNA", at positions 1212 to 2925 of the family's 2925-position model. The record is from RNAcentral.